UAAACGACUCUCGGCAAUGGAUAUCUCGGCUCUCGCAUCGAUGAAGAACGUAGCGAAAUGCGAUACUUGGUGUGAAUUGCAGAAUCCCGUGAACCAUCGAGUCUUUGAACGCAAGUUGCGCCCGAAGCCAUUAGGCCGAGGGCACGCCUGCCUGGGCGUCACAC
Molecule: ribosomal RNA, 164 nt
Filed under: Rubus fasciculatus
Lineage: Eukaryota; Viridiplantae; Streptophyta; Magnoliopsida; Rosales; Rosaceae
Description: 5.8S ribosomal RNA
Rfam family: 5.8S ribosomal RNA
About the family: 5.8S ribosomal RNA (5.8S rRNA) is a component of the large subunit of the eukaryotic ribosome. It is transcribed by RNA polymerase I as part of the 45S precursor that also contains 18S and 28S rRNA.
Source: RNAcentral